CCGUUAAUGGGUGAUUGCGUGCCUUUUGUUGAAUGAUCCGGCGAGUUACGUUUUGUUGCAUGGUUAAGCGGAAAUAGCGGAGCCGUAGCGUAAGCGAGUCUGUAUUGGGCGCAUAUGUUACAGGUCGUUGACCCGAAACCAGGUGAUCUACCCAUGUCCAGGAUGAUGGUUAGGUAUUUCUUACUGGUGGUCCGAACCCACGCUCGUUGAUAUGUGAGGGGUUGAGGUGUGGGU
This 234-nucleotide ribosomal RNA is filed under the name Listeria monocytogenes. RNAcentral's name for it is "partial 23S ribosomal RNA". It matches the Rfam family "Bacterial large subunit ribosomal RNA", at positions 581 to 816 of the family's 2925-position model. Lineage: Bacteria; Bacillati; Bacillota; Bacilli; Caryophanales; Listeriaceae. The record is from RNAcentral.